UGCCCUCUGAAGCUGGCCACUGGGGCUUUUGCUCAGAGGUGAAGAUUCAGUGGAACCCUAGCAAUGAGAGCAUGGAAGCCAUUCACCCCUAGCACAGAAACCAGACGGCAGAACGUCAUUAGGAAAGCGAGGUGUCUCUGUCUGAUCUGAAGACCGCUGUCUGUCAGCUGCCUCCACGGAGUCCUGUCCUGCCUCUGAACUCCCUUCAGGUGUCAUUUCAUCAGAAGCUGAAACAAGACAAUGAGUUACCACCGCGGCGCCACGGCUUGCUGCACUCAACACUUUGAAGCUUCUCUCUAGGGAUGCCUGGUGGCUCAGGCAGUUAAGCGUCUGACUCAGGUCAUGAUCUUCUGAUGCUGAAAAUGUCGAAGGUAACUUGGGGAUGAAUGAUGGAGAAAUACUCAUCCAAUCGAAUCUUCUGGUUUUGGAGUCCUGGGACAUACUUCUGAAUAUUCACUCCGGCUUGCUUGACCCUCAGCUACCCACAGAGGACAGGUGUAAGACCGGGGAACAGAAAGCAACCCUCACCGUAAACUCUCCCUUGCAAAUAUCACUCCGCAUGCUUUGCGACUCACUAAAAGGGGUCAGUAAUGGUCAGACACCGUGGAAGUAAUAAAUAUUAUUUUAAAAA
Long non-coding RNA from Herpailurus yagouaroundi (jaguarundi), 631 nucleotides. RefSeq lists it as uncharacterized. The record is from RefSeq and is a predicted model, not a curated record. NCBI's taxonomy places the organism in Eukaryota, Metazoa, Chordata, Mammalia, Carnivora, Felidae. The transcript is spliced from 4 exons.